Molecule: long non-coding RNA, 545 nt
Filed under: Chinchilla lanigera (long-tailed chinchilla)
Lineage: Eukaryota; Metazoa; Chordata; Mammalia; Rodentia; Chinchillidae
Description: lncRNA (ENSCLAG00000026897.1)
Source: RNAcentral
AUCAGAGAGCAGGCAGAGAGGUGCUGGGAAAGGAGAUACACCCUUCCGAGUCAGCCCCCAGGGGACCUGUUUCUUCUGACCAAAUCUAGCCUCCCCAAGGCAAGUCAGCUAUUCCAUCCUCAUAAUCCAGUCACCUUUCAAACACUGAGUCUUUGUUUCCAUUUGAAUUUGGAACAAUAGCAGUAAGUCUCAGCAUCUAUUGACAAAUCACAAACAUCGAGCCUGUAUUCCACAUAGUGGCCACCAAGCAGACGUAAGCAGCAAAAUGGGCAGUGAGCUACAUGUUGCCUUGUUCUCCUCUUUUACCUUCAACAGAGGGCUGAUUUCUACAGGCAUGGAGGUGUGAGCUCCUUAAUCCCUUCAUGGAUUUCUGCUGCUAUUACUCAGGCUCUUUCACUGAUUUGGCCUAGAUCCCCAGCACUUGCUAGAGCCCAAGACCCAGUGAGCAAGUAUAACAGAGAAGAGUCAUCAGUGGCCAGAUCUGCAGCUAUCUACGGGUCAGCAGCAGGUAAUGAAGGACCUUGAACAUUAGCGCAUCAAGUGGG